Molecule: ribosomal RNA, 599 nt
Filed under: bacterium enrichment culture clone F44x_E8_T3_A07
Lineage: Bacteria
Description: bacterial SSU rRNA
Rfam family: Bacterial small subunit ribosomal RNA
Source: RNAcentral
GCGGCAUGCCUUACACAUGCAAGUCGGACGGCAGCGCGGGCUUCGGCCUGGCGGCGAGUGGCGAACGGGUGAGUAAUACAUCGGAACGUGUCCAGUAGUGGGGGAUAGCCCGGCGAAAGCCGGAUUAAUACCGCAUACGAUCUGUGGAUGAAAGCGGGGGACCUUCGGGCCUCGCGCUACAGGGGCGGCCGAUGGCAGAUUAGGUAGUUGGUGGGGUAAAGGCCUACCAAGCCGACGAUCUGUAGCUGGUCUGAGAGGACGACCAGCCACACUGGGACUGAGACACGGCCCAGACUCCUACGGGAGGCAGCAGUGGGGAAUUUUGGACAAUGGGGGCAACCCUGAUCCAGCAAUGCCGCGUGUGUGAAGAAAGCCUUCGGGUUGUAAAGCACUUUUGUCCGGAAAGAAAACUUCGGGGCUAAUACCCCUGGAGGAUGACGGUACCGGAAGAAUAAGCACCGGCUAACUACGUGCCAGCAGCCGCGGUAAUACGUAGGGUGCGAGCGUUAAUCGGAAUUACUGGGCGUAAAGCGUGCGCAGGCGGUGCUGUAAGACCGAUGUGAAAUCCCCGGGCUUAACCUGGGAACUGCAUUGGUGAC